GAUGAACGCUGGCGGCGUGCUUAACACAUGCAAGUCGAACGGAAAGGCCCAAGCUUGCUUGGGUACUCGAGUGGCGAACGGGUGAGUAACACGUGGGUGAUCUGCCCUGCACUUCGGGAUAAGCCUGGGAAACUGGGUCUAAUACCGGAUAGGACCACAUUUUGGAUGGUGUGGUGGAAAGUUUUUCGGUGUGGGAUGAGCUCGCGGCCUAUCAGCUUGUUGGUGGGGUAAUGGCCUACCAAGGCGUCGACGGGUAGCCGGCCUGAGAGGGUGUACGGCCACAUUGGGACUGAGAUACGGCCCAGACUCCUACGGGAGGCAGCAGUGGGGAAUAUUGCACAAUGGGCGCAAGCCUGAUGCAGCGACGCCGCGUGGGGGAUGACGGCCUUUGGGUUGGAAACUCCUUUCGCUAGGGACGAAGCGUUAUGUGACGGUACCUGGAGAAGAAGCACCGGCUAACUACGUG
RNAcentral lists this ribosomal RNA (466 nucleotides) under uncultured bacterium. RNAcentral describes it as "partial 16S ribosomal RNA". It matches the Rfam family "Bacterial small subunit ribosomal RNA", at positions 28 to 507 of the family's 1533-position model. The record is from RNAcentral.